ACACCUCAACUCUCAUGGUCCGCCAUGACGAGCUUGGACUUUGGGGGUCUUGCCGGCCUAGCGUCGGCUCCUCUCAAAUGGAUCAGCUUCCCAGUGUUUGGCGGCGUCACAGGUGUGAUAACUAUCUACGCUUGUGGUUCUCUGCCAUUAACCUUCAGCGAUGGAGGUUCGCUGGAGCUCACAGAUGUCUCUCCUUGAGGAGGACAGCUUUUUGAAC
RNAcentral lists this unclassified non-coding RNA (217 nucleotides) under uncultured Tomentella. RNAcentral's name for it is "sequence contains ITS2". The record is from RNAcentral. Lineage: Eukaryota; Fungi; Basidiomycota; Agaricomycetes; Thelephorales; Thelephoraceae. RNAcentral also lists the same sequence under 1 other name.